AUUAAGGUAACACAGCCAGGUCAUGUAACAAGACUUAAAAUUUUGACACGGGUGUUCAAAUCACCUCCUUAAU
This 73-nucleotide transfer RNA is filed under the name Tropidophis haetianus (Haitian dwarf boa). RNAcentral describes it as "tRNA-Leu". It matches the Rfam family "tRNA". Rfam says of the family: Transfer RNA (tRNA) molecules are approximately 80 nucleotides in length. Their secondary structure includes four short double-helical elements and three loops (D, anti-codon, and T loops). Lineage: Eukaryota; Metazoa; Chordata; Lepidosauria; Squamata; Tropidophiidae. The record is from RNAcentral.